RNAcentral lists this non-coding RNA (45 nucleotides) under Trichobilharzia regenti. Lineage: Eukaryota; Metazoa; Platyhelminthes; Trematoda; Strigeidida; Schistosomatidae. The record is from RNAcentral.
AUGCAGCUGACGAAUCCCAAAUAGGACGAAAUGCGCAUCCUGGAU